This is a non-coding RNA of Staphylococcus pseudintermedius, 74 nucleotides long. Lineage: Bacteria; Bacillati; Bacillota; Bacilli; Caryophanales; Staphylococcaceae. The record is from Rfam.
GGUCCCGUAGUGGAGCGGUUUAACACGCCUGCCUGUCACGCAGGAGAUCGCGGGUUCGAUUCCCGUCGGGACCG